CCCCUAGACGUUCUGGGCCGCACGCGCGCUACACUGACCAGUGCAACAAGCAUCCGUCCUUGGCCGACAGGCUCGGGCAAUCUUUGAACGCUGGUCGUGAUGGGGAUAGACUUUUGCAAUUUUUGGUCUUCAACGAGGAAUUCCUAGUAAACGCAAGUCAUCAACUUGCAUUGAUUACGUCCCUGCCCUUUGUACACACCGCCCGUCGCACCUACCGAUUGAAUGGUCCGGUGAAGCCUCCGGAUUGGCGCGCACCUCGGUGCCGCCGAGAAGUUGGCUAAACCUUACCAUUUAGAGGAAGGUGAANUCGUAACA
This 315-nucleotide ribosomal RNA is filed under the name uncultured eukaryote. RNAcentral describes it as "partial 18S ribosomal RNA". It matches the Rfam family "Eukaryotic small subunit ribosomal RNA", at positions 1470 to 1796 of the family's 1831-position model. The record is from RNAcentral.